Numida meleagris (helmeted guineafowl) is the source of this 580-nucleotide long non-coding RNA. RefSeq lists it as uncharacterized. Lineage: Eukaryota; Metazoa; Chordata; Aves; Galliformes; Numididae. The record is from RefSeq and is a predicted model, not a curated record. The transcript has 4 exons.
UCAUAUUGACUAGUUCAUGCCUUUGCCUAUUUUUACCUUAACAGAUCAACACAGAAAAUGAAAUUUCACAGGAAGGCUUUGAAGACUUGCUAACGUGUGGAAACAGGAAUAACCUUGUGCAGCUGUUGGACUGUUUUCCUUGAUGCCCUGCACUCCAGCCUGGAGGAGGAGUUUUGACCAUGAGAGCCACUACAAUAAACUGACCAUUUGCUGAAGCUGUUUUUCCUGAGAGGUGUGUUCAAUAAAUACUCAUACAGCAGUUGAAGCACGUGGCCAAUGAACACAGAACAUUAUCGUAAGGUGAUGUGUGUUGCCUUCCCAAAUGGCAUGGAAGCCAUGUGAAAUACAUGAUGGUGUUCCCAUGGCACUGCCUACGGAUGGUCCUAUCAAAGGAUGUAUGAAGUGCUGGGGAAAUCCACUCACAGUGAUAGGAAAAAAAUCUGCGUUAAUUUAACUUUAUAUUGGUUUAAGUGUAAUAAGCUGGCUUAGUGGAGGCAAUGGACAAAAUACUUCUGAACAGAAGUGGGGAAAUAGUUACUGAAGAAGUAUGAAAGCAAAGUACAAAAAAAAAAAAAAAAAA